CAGUCGCCGCGGUAAUACGGAGGGAGCUAGCGUUGUUCGGAAUUACUGGGCGUAAAGCGCACGUAGGCGGCUUUGUAAGUUAGAGGUGAAAGCCUGGAGCUCAACUCCAGAAUUGCCUUUAAGACUGCAUCGCUUGAAUCCAGGAGAGGUGAGUGGAAUUCCGAGUGUAGAGGUGAAAUUCGUAGAUAUUCGGAAGGACACCAGUGGCGAAGGCGGCUCACUGGACUGGUAUUGACGCUGAGGUGCGAAAGCGUGGGGAGCAAACAGGAUUAGAUACCCCCGUAGUCCCUGUCUCUUAUAC
This 301-nucleotide ribosomal RNA is filed under the name uncultured bacterium. RNAcentral describes it as "partial 16S ribosomal RNA". It matches the Rfam family "Bacterial small subunit ribosomal RNA", at positions 509 to 807 of the family's 1533-position model. The record is from RNAcentral.